GCGGGCGUGGCGAAACUGGCAACCGCUCGGGUUUUAGGUGCCCGUGCUCGAAAGAGCUUGAGGGUUCGAGUCCCUCCGCCCGCA
RNAcentral lists this transfer RNA (84 nucleotides) under Mycobacterium branderi. RNAcentral describes it as "tRNA-Leu". It matches the Rfam family "tRNA". Rfam says of the family: Transfer RNA (tRNA) molecules are approximately 80 nucleotides in length. Their secondary structure includes four short double-helical elements and three loops (D, anti-codon, and T loops). Lineage: Bacteria; Bacillati; Actinomycetota; Actinomycetes; Mycobacteriales; Mycobacteriaceae. The record is from RNAcentral.